Molecule: long non-coding RNA, 476 nt
Organism: Carassius auratus (goldfish)
Lineage: Eukaryota; Metazoa; Chordata; Actinopteri; Cypriniformes; Cyprinidae
Source: Ensembl
UAUUUAUUUACAUAAAUGUUGUUGUGUACACUAUUUAAAUAUUAAGUAAUAUUAUUAUAUGUUGAAAUUCAUUUAAUAUUACUUCAUUCAUUCGUUAAUUUGUAACUAAUUAACUCAUUUAUUCAUUCAUUGGCAAGGACAAAUAACCUUUCUACCAUUUUCUCAGUUUGACAAUUUCAAGCGUGUCUCAAGUGGAGGAAGAGCUAAAAGGCCCCCUGGUGGAGAACAUUAGCAUCACUUUCUCCUGUCUGAUGUUCUGGCAAGACAACGUGUUGGGAGACAUGGAUGUUGAUCUAUAAAAAGAGUUUCUGCAUGACUUGAAAGGCUUGAAAGUUUUGGUUAAUGAUAAAGACAUGCUGGACCAACACAAAAGCUUGGUAUGUGCACAGCUUAGAGGAACAUUUAACGUCUUUAGUGAGAUGGAGGCCAAUUUUAAGGUCAGAAGCAUGAAUGUUUUCAUAUACUUUUUAAAAUAA